RNAcentral lists this long non-coding RNA (675 nucleotides) under Homo sapiens (human). RNAcentral describes it as "HSALNT0369585". The record is from RNAcentral. Lineage: Eukaryota; Metazoa; Chordata; Mammalia; Primates; Hominidae.
ACUGUGGCAGAAGGAAAGGAAAAAUGGUGAACCACUUCCUGGCUCGAAAAGCUUCUGUGUGGAAGUGACACACAUCUCUUCUGUCUACAUUUCAGAAGGGAUGGGGCCAGGGAUGCUGAGGACACACCAUGUACCCUUUUUCAGGCCAUAUCCAGUAACAGAGUCUACUGCAUCAUAUUAACUGAUAAACCCAGGAUGACAAGAGAAACAUGGGACUCACUCUUCAUUUGCAUUGACUCCAGCUAAGAGCUUCAGUUUUCAUGCUUUGCUUCAGAAUUAUUGUGGUCUGAUGCAGAACUGAAAAGGCCAACACGAGAAUCUUCAAGUACAAUUGCCUGGGAAUCCUGAGGUCUGGACAGCAACACCUGAAUCUGAAUCUCUUUUGGGUUGAAUCAUAAAAGAAAAUAGUAUGGAGAGAUUUAAGGCCAGGCCUCUGGAGAAGGAAUUGAUAAAAUAUGUGGUAGUACCUGCGCUACAGAACAGAAUUCACUUGGAAGUUCUUGGCAUAUAAAUGAAAACAGAUGGGCUGGGAAGCCAGUGGAUCAAAAGAAGGACCUGGGGGAAGCUCAGCUUGGGGACCGGCUUGCUCUUUGCCCUCACUAUUUGUCAACUGGGAAUCUCCUGGGUGCUCAGCUGUGCUGGAAUCUCAGAUGAGUAAAUUGAAGCCCAGAAAGG